CCGAUGCGAAGGCAGGUCUCUGGGCUGUAACUGACGCUGAGGAGCGAAAGCAUGGGGAGCGAACAGGAUUAGAUACCCUGGUAGUCCAUGCCGUAAACGUUGGGCACUAGGUGUGGGGGACAUUCCACGUUUUCCGCGCCGUAGCUAACGCAUUAAGUGCCCCGCCUGGGGAGUACGGCCGCAAGGCUAAAACUCAAAGGAAUUGACGGGGGCCCGCACAAGCGGCGGAGCAUGCGGAUUAAUUCGAUGCAACGCGAAGAACCUUACCAAGGCUUGACAUGAACCGGAAAGACCUGGAAACAGGUGCCCCGCUUGCGGUCGGUUUACAGGUGGUGCAUGGUUGUCGUCAGCUCGUGUCGUGAGAUGUUGGGUUAAGUCCCGCAACGAGCGCAACCCUCGUUCUAUGUUGCCAGCGCGUGAUGGCGGGGACUCAUAGGAGACUGCCGGGGUCAACUCGGAGGAAGGUGGGGACGACGUCAAAUCAUCAUGCCCCUUAUGUCUUGGGCUUCACGCAUGCUACAAUGGCCGGUACAAAGGGUUGCGAUACUGUGAGGUGGAGCUAAUCCCAAAAAGCCGGUCUCAGUUCGGAUUGGGGUCUGCAACUCGACCCCAUGAAGUCGGAGUCGCUAGUAAUCGCAGAUCAGCAACGCUGCGGUGAAUACGUUCCCGGGCCUUGUACACACCGCGCGUAAGUCACGAAAGUUGGUAACACCCGAAGCCGGUGGCCUAACCCUUGUGGGGGGAGCCGUCCAAGGUGGGACCCGCAUUGGGACUAA
RNAcentral lists this ribosomal RNA (776 nucleotides) under Paenarthrobacter ilicis. RNAcentral describes it as "bacterial SSU rRNA". It matches the Rfam family "Bacterial small subunit ribosomal RNA", at positions 708 to 1484 of the family's 1533-position model. The record is from RNAcentral. Lineage: Bacteria; Bacillati; Actinomycetota; Actinomycetes; Micrococcales; Micrococcaceae.